Molecule: long non-coding RNA, 892 nt
Filed under: Homo sapiens (human)
Lineage: Eukaryota; Metazoa; Chordata; Mammalia; Primates; Hominidae
Description: long non-coding RNA NONHSAT060848.2
Source: RNAcentral
GCGUGGAGGGGAGUGGCUGCAUUGUCGGGAGGCGGUACGGGUCUUGCCUUGGUACCCGAUGGAGAGGGUGUGGCCAAAGGAGAGGAAGAAAGCGGUCCUAGUGCUGGGGCUGCGUCCUUCCUUGGGGGUGUGACCUGAGGGGGUCGCAGAGCCUGCAGUCCUUUCGGCUUGGGCUGCGAGGGAUGCGCAGGAGCCCUGGGUGUUCCGCGGGCUGAGGGCCCAGAACGGGCUGGGGAGGAGAGAGGGGUGGCGCUGGAGCUCAGGGAGCGCGAGGCCGGCCUCUGGAGACCCCCACCGGCGCUGGGCCGCCUCCUGGCAGCCGGGCUUGGCUCGGUGGUACUGUGCUCCGAGGCGCUGCUCACUGAUUUCCGGGGGCCCUCUGUCGGGGGCCGUGGCCGGGCACUCGGAGCUGGCCGGGGGAGCCCCACCUCGGUGCCCGCAGCCCGGGACCGACGGGCCAUGGCCGGGGACGGGGUUCCUGGGGUAGGCCCGGAAGUGUCUGGAGAAAAAGUAGAAGGCCAAGGGUCACCGAUACCUCUGAGGCGGCUCCCCUUGCUGCCCAGGAACCCCACUCUUCUCCAGGUCACGUACCUCUCCGUGCCCCAGCGCUGAGGGCACUCCUUUUGGGAGCCUCUGUAGCUUUUCCUCUGGCCACAGUUUCCUCCGCUGAGAUCCGGAGUCCCUUCUGGCCAAGAGGGCCUGGCCUGGAGACAGAAGGGGCCACGCUCAGGCCUAGGUCUUUGUUUGGCUUCCCAAGUCUCUAUUUUCCCAUCUGUGAAAUGGGCAUGUGCCCUCUCUGAGGACCAAUAAUGGCUUUCACCCAAUUUGUGCCCAGUGACCUGCAAGUGCUCCCGCGCCCCAACUCGUGUAAAAUAAAAGGUUCCAGACUCUG